Mauremys reevesii (Reeves's turtle) is the source of this 489-nucleotide long non-coding RNA. RefSeq lists it as uncharacterized. The record is from RefSeq and is a predicted model, not a curated record. Lineage: Eukaryota; Metazoa; Chordata; Testudines; Geoemydidae. The transcript has 3 exons.
CGUGAACCUGCAACGCCUGAAUCUGAAGCAAAGAUAGGACCUAACUAGCAGGAAUUCAGGGAAUGUUUUUCCUCGGACCCUAUUGAAGUACAUACUGCUGGGAUUGUGUCUGCAAUGACAGCCUUAACACUUCCCAGAGCGGAGGACCCCAAUGCAGGAAUGGCAUUGCCCACCCUGAAAGUGAGAAGUUUGCCAGUCCCAUCGAACGUGAGAUUAACUAUUCAUGCUCUAGUAGCAUCCACCACAAUGUGCGAGGUGCGGUCCAAACACAGAGUGAGACAGCCCCCGCCUCGAAGAGCUUCAAAUCUCAGAAGCUGGGAGAUAAAUGGACGGAAGAGGAGAGGAUGAAAUGCACCAUCUCUUUUAAAAAAACUGGAGUUGAGCAGGAAUGUGUAGAAAAACUUCUCAAGUCCUUUCCAGUUCCUAAAUCUGACACCGCUGCUCCUCUCUGUGUUUGGACAAAACACGCAAAAUGGGCGACGAAGCCAG